RNAcentral lists this ribosomal RNA (118 nucleotides) under Lepisosteus oculatus (spotted gar). Lineage: Eukaryota; Metazoa; Chordata; Actinopteri; Semionotiformes; Lepisosteidae. The record is from RNAcentral.
UCAAGCAGCUAUACACCCUGCUACUCACAACUAGCAACCCACUGAAGCUAAGCAGGGGUGAGCCUGGUCAGUACCUGGAUGGGAGACCUUCUGGGAAUAGCUAAGGUUGCUGCUGGAA